UACAUAAUAUAAUAACAAAUAUUAUAACUUUCAAUGAGUGAUGAUAGUCGUAGUUAUGUGUGCGUUCAUAUAUUGUAUUCAAAAAUUUUAAAUUAAAUGUUUUGUGGAUUUAGUAUUGUUUGUGUGCUUUCUCGAAAGUACAACUUUAGCAUAAAUGGAAUGAGUCAUUCCGAACAUUCCGCGAAAAUCGAACUUUUAAUGGGGCUCAUAUGGACAGACAAACUGAAAUAACUUACCGAUUUAUUUUCGUUUUUAUGGACCGCAUCAAGAGCAUCAAACAUGGACGAAUUUUUGACAAGACGGCUUCUGAUGCUUUGCUCACUAUGAAGAUAUAUAGAUCCGCCAUCCGAAGUGUCCACGAGGUGGUACAUUUUUUUCCCAUUAUUUACGACAACCUUUAUUAAUAAAUAUGUUAAAUGUUUAUAAAA
Long non-coding RNA from Drosophila mojavensis, 428 nucleotides. RefSeq lists it as uncharacterized. Lineage: Eukaryota; Metazoa; Arthropoda; Insecta; Diptera; Drosophilidae. The record is from RefSeq and is a predicted model, not a curated record. The transcript is spliced from 2 exons.